Molecule: ribosomal RNA, 808 nt
Filed under: Cutibacterium acnes
Lineage: Bacteria; Bacillati; Actinomycetota; Actinomycetes; Propionibacteriales; Propionibacteriaceae
Description: bacterial SSU rRNA
Rfam family: Bacterial small subunit ribosomal RNA
Source: RNAcentral
ACGGAAAGGCCCUGCUUUUGUGGGGUGCUCGAGUGGCGAACGGGUGAGUAACACGUGAGUAACCUGCCCUUGACUUUGGGAUAACUUCAGGAAACUGGGGCUAAUACCGGAUAGGAGCUCCUGCUGCAUGGUGGGGGUUGGAAAGUUUCGGCGGUUGGGGAUGGACUCGCGGCUUAUCAGCUUGUUGGUGGGGUAGUGGCUUACCAAGGCUUUGACGGGUAGCCGGCCUGAGAGGGUGACCGGCCACAUUGGGACUGAGAUACGGCCCAGACUCCUACGGGAGGCAGCAGUGGGGAAUAUUGCACAAUGGGCGGAAGCCUGAUGCAGCAACGCCGCGUGCGGGAUGACGGCCUUCGGGUUGUAAACCGCUUUCGCCUGUGACGAAGCGUGAGUGACGGUAAUGGGUAAAGAAGCACCGGCUAACUACGUGCCAGCAGCCGCGGUGAUACGUAGGGUGCGAGCGUUGUCCGGAUUUAUUGGGCGUAAAGGGCUCGUAGGUGGUUGAUCGCGUCGGAAGUGUAAUCUUGGGGCUUAACCCUGAGCGUGCUUUCGAUACGGGUUGACUUGAGGAAGGUAGGGGAGAAUGGAAUUCCUGGUGGAGCGGUGGAAUGCGCAGAUAUCAGGAGGAACACCAGUGGCGAAGGCGGUUCUCUGGGCCUUUCCUGACGCUGAGGAGCGAAAGCGUGGGGAGCGAACAGGCUUAGAUACCCUGGUAGUCCACGCUGUAAACGGUGGGUACUAGGUGUGGGGUCCAUUCCACGGGUUCCGUGCCGUAGCUAACGCUUUAAGUACCCCGCCUGGGGAGUAC